CUGCACAAAAUCACAAUACUGUAAUUACCUGAUGAACGCAAGCCUAGCUAAUCAAUCCCGAUGUGAUACCUGCAAGUGUGCGCGCUGCAAAUCGGCCAUCACUUGCAUUGUUUUAAAACGAGCGCGACGUUGGCGAGCGCGCUUGAGUCAGCAGGCGAGAGUGGGCGUGUUGCUCUGUAAGGAUCCCGAACCGAACUCAACUCGAACGACUGACCUACAUUCUCUACGACCCCUUCUACGGGAUCCUGUUCGUAGUCUUCAGCUCUGCGUUCAACACCAUCAUCACCGAACUCCUCUCCUCGAAGCUUCUCUAGAUCAGCGUCUCAUCCACCAUCUUCCAGUAUAUUUACUGCUUCCUAAGGCACAAUACCAAGCAGCAUAGCUGGGUGUCAAACUCCCGAAGUUUGCAGAUGACACCACAGUCAUCGGCCUCAUCAAAGAUGGUACGGCCAACAUAACCUGCAGCUGAACCGGCUCAAGACUGGAGAGAUGAUUGUGGACUUCAGGAAGUAUCCUUCACCACACCUCCCCCUCAGGCGGUCCAACUACACCGUGUCAACUGUUAUGACAUUCAAGUUCCUGGGAAUUACACUCUCUCAGGGUCUGAAAUGGGAGACCAACAUCAACUCCAUCCUCCAAAAGGCCCAGCAGAGGAUGUACUUCCUGCGGCUUCUGAGGAAGCAUGACCUGCCACGGGAGCUGUUGAGGCAGUUUUACAAAGCAGUCAGUCCUGUGUUUCUCCAUCACAGUCAGGUUUGGCGCUGCCGCAAAAAAGGACGACAACGGACAAUCAAAACUGCAGAAAAGAUUGUCGUAUCCUCUACCCACGCUUGAGGACUUAAGGAUGCUCCCUGAACUAAUAAAAUGUCUUACAGCUGACAUGGAUUUCCUCCACAUGCCCAAAGGUUAUAUAUCACACGAGUGAAGUGGUAUCAGUGUGUUAAUAUUGGAGCAUUUUUUGAUGCACAGUAUCAGCGCGGAUAUUGUUAUCAUAUUCAUAUUAAUUAGAUUCAGCGUUAUAGAAACGAAUGGAUGGCAUUAUGACUAAGCUUGUCACCAGUAAUUGAAGUGUACAGCUUUCAAGGUCAACAAAAUAGUUUGCACUCCUAGUGAAGACCUUUGCACCUCCUGUCCACGCAUGCACUUUUCAUUAGGAAUGCUGUGUUUCCAGUCAAUAAGAAAGGUCAAAGCUUUAUCUGGAUCCAUUCUACAAUGUGAAGGCUUGUUCCUUUUCUCGUAGCCGACUCCUCCUCAAAGUUUCCCAGAAGUCAGUUAAGUAGAAAGAAACGUCGCCUGAUAAAUACAUAAAUCGUCAUAGCUGGUUACGCCUCUAAAUAUGAGCGACCGACAAAGCCAUCAGACUAUUAGCGCUUAGCAAGUAACUGCACGAGGUUGCACGUGCUACCUACAUAUGCUCGUAACCUGUGCUUGUACGAUAAUUGCACACUCACACACCGUUUAUCGUACACAGAAACCCACGCUCACAGACAGAAGUCAUAUUUUGACGAGGUGGUGCCUCCUGUGGUGAGGCGAGCAACAUCAAAAGUCAAGCGGCAGCACCGCAUGCGGCAGGUUCACCGUGAAAUGAAGGGGAAAGUUGCAAUUGGAACCUAACGGCUUUAGAAUCUUCUCAAGACGUCUUGGGCUCAAAUGCGUGGUAUGUCCUGCUGAUGUCAGUGGAUUAGGGAGUGGGACCCCAGAAUACAUGGGCAGGAAUGCUGAGUGUGUGUCUGGAGGCGCCUCACGACCAGGAAUGCUGUUACGUCUUGAAGUGGCGCGAGCCUUAUGUGUCCAUCACGGAUGACAGCAGUUGAUGGCUGCGUGUUCCUGACGGGAGUGCCCGACAGGCAUGUCGCUCACCUCUUCAUAUGUACGUACACACCCACGCCAACACGACAGCCUGUGUGCAUCUUUUAGAUUUUGACUUUAGACACAAGAACUGACGCCACAACAAGCAGUUGUUUACAUAUAGAAAUCAGAGGCCGCAAGCUGUUUGUGGCCACACUCAGUCAAACAAAGCAUAUGGAACAAAGACAAUUAGAUGUCGGGAAUUUAAAAACAAGCGCAUCACUUUGGCCCUUUUUUCUGCAUGUUUGAGGCUAGCAAAGGAAACGCUAUAAACAGGCUAGUGAAAAGUACCUGUGUCUUUUCAUCAAGAAUGCAUUAGCAAUAACUGUUGUUUUUUUGGGUGGCUGAGACAGAUUGAAGGUAUUUCUAUUUAAUUCAAUGGGGAAAGAAGUUCCAAAUGUUUUGAGUUGCAAGCGUGGUCCCCAAACAAAUGACACUCAUAUCUCAGGACAGCACUGUAUAUGCUUUAAAAUGUCAUUUACUUGAG
Syngnathoides biaculeatus (alligator pipefish) is the source of this 2335-nucleotide long non-coding RNA. RefSeq lists it as uncharacterized. The transcript has 3 exons. Lineage: Eukaryota; Metazoa; Chordata; Actinopteri; Syngnathiformes; Syngnathidae. The record is from RefSeq and is a predicted model, not a curated record.